RNAcentral lists this ribosomal RNA (485 nucleotides) under uncultured bacterium. RNAcentral's name for it is "bacterial SSU rRNA". It matches the Rfam family "Bacterial small subunit ribosomal RNA", at positions 32 to 524 of the family's 1533-position model. The record is from RNAcentral.
AAUCAACGCUGGCGGCGUGCCUCAGACAUGCAAGUCGAACGAUUAAGACUUCCCUUCGGGAAGUGCAUAAAGUGGCGCACGGGUGAGUAACACGUAAGUAAUCUACCCUCGAGUGGGGAAUAACGUUCGGAAACGGACGCUAAUACCGCAUAACGCAGCGGCACCGCAAGGUGACAGUUGUUAAAGGAGCAAUCCGCUUGAGGAGGAGCUUGCGGCAGAUUAGCUAGUUGGUAGGGUAAUGGCUUACCAAGGCUACGAUCUGUAUCCGGUCUAAGAGGACGGUCGGACACACUGACACUGAAUAACGGGUCAGACUCCUACGGGAGGCAGCAGUCGGGAAUUUUGGGCAAUGGGCGAAAGCCUGACCCAGCAACGCCGCGUGAAGGAUGAAGUAUUUCGGUAUGUAAACUUCGAAAGAAUAGGAAGAAUAAAUGACGGUACUAUUUAUAAGCUCCGGCUAACUACGUGCCAGCAGCCGCGGUAAU